RNAcentral lists this small nuclear RNA (158 nucleotides) under Carlito syrichta (Philippine tarsier). RNAcentral describes it as "U1 spliceosomal RNA (ENSTSYG00000036877.1)". It matches the Rfam family "U1 spliceosomal RNA". Rfam says of the family: U1 is a small nuclear RNA (snRNA) component of the spliceosome (involved in pre-mRNA splicing). Its 5' end forms complementary base pairs with the 5' splice junction, thus defining the 5' donor site of an intron. The record is from RNAcentral. Lineage: Eukaryota; Metazoa; Chordata; Mammalia; Primates; Tarsiidae.
UUAUUUACUUUGCCCAAAUCCAUCAGAGCAAUCAUUAUGUAUCCCAGGAUGAAGUUUAUCCAUUGCAUUCCAAAUGUGCUAACCCCUAUGAUUUCCUCAAAUUUGGGAAACUCGACUGCAUAAUCUGUGGUAGUGGGGAACUGUAUUUGUACUCUCAA